Molecule: ribosomal RNA, 789 nt
Filed under: Paenibacillus sp.
Lineage: Bacteria; Bacillati; Bacillota; Bacilli; Caryophanales; Paenibacillaceae
Description: partial 16S ribosomal RNA
Rfam family: Bacterial small subunit ribosomal RNA
Source: RNAcentral
UUUAAAGUUGAAAGACGGACCUUUGCGUCACUUGUAGAAGGGCCUGCGGCGCAUUAUCUAAUUGGUGGGGGAAAGGCCCACCAAGGGGACGAUGGGUAACCCACCCGAGAGGGGGGACGGCCCCCCUGGGGCUGAAACACCGCCCCAACUCCUACGGGAGGGAACAGUAAGGAAUCUUCCCCAAUGGGGGAAAACCUGAAGGAGCAACGCCCCGUGGGUGAUGAAGGUUUUCGGAUCCUAAAACUCUGUUGCCAAGGAAGAAAGCCUGCUAGAGUAACUGGGCGCAAAGUGACGGUACCUGUGAUAAAAGCCCCGGCUAAAUACGUGGCAACAGCCGCGGUAAUACCUAGGGGGCAAGCGUUGUCCGGAAAUAUUGGGGGUAAAGCGCGCGCAGGCGGUUUUCUAAAUCUGGUGUUUAAACCCCCCGCUCAACUCCGGGUCGCACUGUAAACUGUGGGACUUGUGUGCGGAAAAGAAGAGUGGAAUUCUUCCUGUAGCGGUGAAAUGCGUAGAUAUAUGUAGGAAAACCCCUGUCGAAGGCGACUCUCUGUGGUGUAUAUGACACUGAGGCGCGAAAGCGUGUGGAGCACACAGAAUUAUAUACACCGGGUAGACCACGCCGUAAACAAUGAAUGCGAGCUGUGAUGGGGGGCUAUACCCCUGCUGCCGAAGGUAACACAUUAAACAUUCCUCCCGGGGAGAAUAGGCGCACGACUGUAAAUCCCAGAGUAUACGGGGGACCCCCCCCAAACGGUGGUAGAAGUGGGUUUUUCUUAGCAACGCGAAGAA